AUUUUUCCAAAAGUCUACAUUUUUUUUUUCUUGUCUUAUUAUUUAUUUUUAGAGUCAAUUGCUUAUAUAUUCCUGAAAAGUUUCUGACUUUCUGAUUUAUCUCUCUUAGAAGGCUAAUAUUGAAAAUAUUUUUUUUACGUUCCAACCUAUUUCAAAUAUACUUUUAGAGUUAAAAUCUGUUAAUGAACUUUGUUAUUUGUAUAAAAUUAUUAUUUUGCCCUUUCUAAUAUUUCAUUCUAUCAUCACCGACUUUUCUUAUUUGUCCUUAAAUCAGGAGCACAAAAAGUAUUUUGACUUUUGGUCUUUUCAAAUAUAUUCCUCUAUCAUCACCAAUAUUUUUUAUUUAUCCUUAAAUUAAGGGCAAAAUUGACAUUUUAAUUUUUUUUAACUGUGGUGUGGUAGAUAUUUAACUCACGUUUAAUCCAAGUUAACUUAACGGGUGGUAACUGGAUAGGUAUUUUGAAAUAACGGAGAAACAUAUGAGGGAUAUAUUGGAAAGAAAAAAAAAAGGAAUAAAUGAGAUAUUUUCGAAGUUUGAGGUAUAUAUAGGCAAUUAUCUCUUAUUUUUAGUACUUCCUAUUGUAUACGUUCUACGUGCAUUUUCCUUUUCCAUUCCACAUAUGGCUAUAUUUAAUGCGUUCGGUCUCAUUAACUUACUUACGUAAUUUGCCUAACUGUAUCUCAUUUAGAAACUCUCGAAUACACUAAAGGCGUGUUUGGUUCGAAGUCGGAGUCGGAAUCGGAAUCAGAAUCAAAAUAAGCUGAAAUCGGAAUCGGAAUGACUCAUUACCUAAAUUUUGUUUUGUUCAUCACCUGAAUCGGAAUUCAAAUAAAUCAUUCCCAUUGUCAGUGUUUGGUUCAGAUGGAUAUAAAAAAGUAAUCAAAUUAAUAUACUAACAUUAUCUUUAUAAUAUAUUAAUU
Molecule: long non-coding RNA, 921 nt
Filed under: Ananas comosus (pineapple)
Lineage: Eukaryota; Viridiplantae; Streptophyta; Magnoliopsida; Poales; Bromeliaceae
Description: long non-coding RNA (ACOM_LNC012724)
Source: RNAcentral